RNAcentral lists this ribosomal RNA (432 nucleotides) under uncultured bacterium. Its description in RNAcentral is "bacterial SSU rRNA". It matches the Rfam family "Bacterial small subunit ribosomal RNA", at positions 958 to 1392 of the family's 1533-position model. The record is from RNAcentral.
AACGCGAAGAACCUUACCAGGCCUUGACAUGCACUAGACAGACGCUGAAAGGCGUUCUCCCUUCGGGGCUGGUGCACAGGUGCUGCAUGGCUGUCGUCAGCUCGUGUCGUGAGAUGUUGCGUUAAGUCGCGCAACGAGCGCAACCCCUGUCCUUAGUUGCCAUCAUUAAGUUGGGCACUCUAGGGAGACAAACCCUCUUUGAGGGUGGGAAGGUGGGGAUGACGUCAAGUCAGGAUGGCCCUUACGGCCUGGGCUGCACACGUACUACAAUGCCCGGUACAGAGGGAAGCAAUACCGCGAGGUGGAGCAAAUCCUCAAAACCGGGCCCAGUUCAGAUUGUAGUCUGCAACUCGACUACAUGAAGUUGGAAUCGCUAGUAAUGGCGCAUCAGCUACGGCGCCGUGAAUACGUUCCCGGGUCUUGUACACACCG